GACGUAGGGCGCGAGCGUUGUCCGGAUUUAUUGGGCGUAAAGAGCUCGUAGGCGGAACGUUAAGCGGGGCCGGAAAGCCCCCGGCUCAACCGGGGAAGGGGCCGCGAACUGGCGUUCUUGAGGGGGAGAGGGGAGAGCGGAAUUCCUGGUGUAGCGGUGAAAUGCGUAGAGAUCAGGAGGAACACCCAUGGCGAAGGCAGCUCUCUGGCUUCACCCUGACGCUGAGGCGCGAAAGCUAGGGUAGCGAAUGGG
RNAcentral lists this ribosomal RNA (252 nucleotides) under uncultured bacterium. RNAcentral describes it as "partial 16S ribosomal RNA". It matches the Rfam family "Bacterial small subunit ribosomal RNA", at positions 524 to 776 of the family's 1533-position model. The record is from RNAcentral.